GAUGAACGCUGGCGGCGUGCCUAAUACAUGCAAGUAGAACGCUGAAGGAGGAGCUUGCCCUUCUGGAUGAGUUGCGCACGGGUGAGUAACGCGUAGGUAACAUGCCUGGUUGUGGGGGAUAACUAUUGGAAACGCUAGCUAAUACCGCAUGACAACAGUUAUUGCAUGAUAAUUGUUUAAAAGGGGCAACUGCUCCACUACCAGAUGGACCUGCGUUGUAUUAGCUAGUUGGUGAUGUAACGGCUCACCAAGGAGACGACACAGAGCCGACCCGGGGAGGGGGUCGGCCACCCUGGGAAUGGGGACCGGCCCAAGCUCCUACGGGGAGGAACAGUAGGGGAUCUUCGGCAAUGGACGGAAGUCUUACCGAACAACGCCGCGGGAGUGAAGGAGGGUUUCGGGUCGUAAAGCUCUGUUGUAAGGGAAGAACGAGCGGGAGAGUUGAAAGUUCACGCUGUGACGGUACCUUACCAGAAAGGGACGGCUAACUACGUG
RNAcentral lists this ribosomal RNA (495 nucleotides) under uncultured bacterium. Its description in RNAcentral is "partial 16S ribosomal RNA". It matches the Rfam family "Bacterial small subunit ribosomal RNA", at positions 28 to 507 of the family's 1533-position model. The record is from RNAcentral.